This is a non-coding RNA of Vicugna pacos (alpaca), 3376 nucleotides long. NCBI's taxonomy places the organism in Eukaryota, Metazoa, Chordata, Mammalia, Artiodactyla, Camelidae. The record is from RefSeq and is a predicted model, not a curated record.
UCCUUGCUUAUCAAAUUUUUGUGUCUGUUAUGAAAGAAUUUUGUUUGUGCUGUGUAUGAAGAAAAUAUAUGUUACCUUGGAGUUUGGUGAUAAGAUCAUGUUUCUGUGGUAUCAUUUUUUUCCAAGUAUUUCGGUAUUUUAAGAUGUUAUCUUUUCAGUUUUCACAGCAUGCUAGGAAGAAGGAAGGACAUGUUGUUCUCACCUACCAGUGAAAUUGAGGUAAGCAGUUACUCACUCUCUUGCAUUAGUCACUGAUUGAGCUGGGAAUGUGAUACCAAACAGCGUCCUCUAGUCCCCAGACCAUUGUGACCCUGCAGCAGUUCUGGUCAAUUCAUUAAUCCCAUUUUCUUUUUCUUAGUUAAUGACUACACAGUUGACUCUUGCUUAUCUGCUCCGACGGAAAAGGAAAGAACAGGACAUAAUCUCAAAUGUUUUAAGAAUCAUCUCUUGAGUUUUAACUACAGAAGGGGCAUGUUUAAGAAGGUAAAGAUGUUGUGAACUUUUCAUGCUGUUCCUCCAUUCCUUUGCACCUCACUGACUGUUUUUUUUGAGGGGAACCCACAGAUUGAAGCCAUCUGAGGGGCGUGGGAGGAAAGGUUGCUGGAUGAAGAAAGUCAUCUCUUGAUGAACUCAGCUGGUUUCCACGUCCUCUCCCAGAGCUCUGAGGGACAUUUCCACACACCCACAAGGAGUUAAAGACCCCUGAGCUGAGACAGGAUGGCUGUUCUCAAGCGUGUGUCCCCCUGGCAUGCAGUCUCUAGCCUCCAUGACGCCUGCCUGCCUCACCUACUGUUUGUCUGUGACUCUGUGGCUGCCGUGUGGUUGGCAUCCACCCCCACGCUGGCAUGCCAAAGGAGUGAAUGAACAAUGGCCUAUCCUGGCACCGAUGGAUAUUUUAAUAACUGUGGAAAAUGAGGAAUUUACAGAUGCAUGAUUCAAGCUCCCACUUCAAAGGUCCUCACCCGAAAUCCUCCUGAAAUUAGAAGCAAGACUGCCGAACACAAUGCAACCUUUUGCAUGGCUGCCCCACGUUACUAUAAAUCUGUGUGUGUGUGUGUGUGUGUGUGUGUGUGUAGUGUUUGGGAAAGUUACAUUCCUGGGAAACUGGUGUGCUGCUUUCAUCUGGAAUUUAUGUGUAGCGUUCAGCAGGUAGGUCCCGCUGGGGAAAUAGCAGGUAUGUCAUGGGAAGCAAUUUGCUUUUCAAGGGCCAGCCAAGACUCAAAACAGGCCUGGGCUAUUUGACCAGUUACUUAACCAGCAACUCUACAAGGUUGGAUCUUCCUGGGUCUGACCAGUCCUCGCUCUGAGUGGAGAACAUUCUCUCGCUCCUGGACCUGGUCUGAAACUCCAUCUGGAAUGGGGAGAAUUAAAAUUAAGUCAUCAGCAUCCCAUUCCUUUGUCCAAUACCCCACUUCCUAUCACGUCUCAGUAGAGACUCAAACUCUUUUGAUGUUUCCAGUGGAUGCCAUCUUUCCCGCAAUGGUUCCCUAUUCAGGUCUGGCCUCUCCAGCCAGGCCCAGGCUCCAGACCUCCUUUUUCCUUUCAUGAACAAUUACUACCACUCACCCAAGGCUUGGUGUGCAAGUGAUGAAACCUUGCUCACCCUGUGAGGUAGAGAUUGCCACCUCUAUUUUGUCUAUAAGGGAACAGCCUCAAAAAAGCAGAAACAACUUGUCUCAGGGCACACAACCAGAAUUAGAAGUAGAAGUUCUAACCCAGGCCCGAAGCCCAAACUCACACACUGAAUGAUAUUCCUCCUACUGCUCCCCUUGAAACUGAACUGUGAUAUUUCCCAUUCUUCCAAAUGAGCGGACACCCUGCUAUUUACCACUAACAUAUUUUUGUAGUAUUUGUAUCUUGGUAGGGUUUUCCUGGACACAGCGCCUGAGCGCAAGGCCUGAUUGUGAGUGUUAGAGUUCCCCACACUUUGACAAGUGUUGAGGGGAGGGUGGAGCCUUUCAGCUCUACCAAAUAUACCACCCAGAUGGGGAGGCCAGUGGUUUGUUCUCCUGACUGGUCCAGUCCUUGAGGGAGUUACGCAGCCAUGACUCCCAGACAGUCCUCUUUUGGACACCUUUGAUGUUUGUCUUCAUGACACCUGUUUUAUUCCCUCUGAUUUCAAGGCUGACCAACAUUUAACUUUGUAUCCCUUCCUGAUAUGCAAAAACCUUUCAGCCAGAUUGGUGUCAAGUGUCUUCUAGAGAUUUCCUUGAUCAGGUGUCUCUCUGAGGCAGGCAAAAACUGUGAGCUCCCAACUGACUGGCAUUAGCCACAAAAGCCUGUGCUGUAUUAUUGUUACCAUUUCAUACUCGCCAGAAAACAUUUGAGAAAUGUAUCAUAGUUUUUUUUUUUCAGUUGAUAAAAUUAAGUGUAUUGUACCGUAUUCUAUUACACUCUGAUAUUAUGCUGUUAGAUAUGAGGGAAGUUCAUUCUCAAAGGCCCUGGGAGGAAACUCUCAUACAUAAGCUUGAUGCCAUCAAACAUAAACGUGGACAGAGAGACAGCUGCCUGAAUCUUUAUGUCGUUUUAAUUUUGAGGAAAUUAAAUGAGGAAAAUGGAAUAAUUUACGUGAUUUCCCCCCCCCCAAAGACACAUUUCUUAAUGAAUCCAGACUUUGACAAGAAAAUAGAAGCAAUGGAUGAUGGUAGGAGUUUCGCUGUGGCCAGCAUGACACACAUUACAUUAUUUUUUUCACGAGCUCCAAAAUUAUAAAUGGGAUGGUUAUGCCUGGUUGACUGUGGUAGAGAUUGAUGAUAGUUCAGUGAAGGAUCAAAGAAAAAUUAUUUUCCCAGUUCUUAACCUAUUCACAUUGUUUAAAAAAAAAUCCUCCUAGUUUUCCCUCUUUUUCUCUUCUUUCCCAGAGCAGUGCAGGCCAGGAAGGCCUUGCAGUGUGACUUCAGGGCCAGGUGUUUCAGUGCCACGUGACGCUGUACGUCAUCUGUGGCUGUUGCUGACUCUCCUCGGGUGAUGGAACGCUCUUCCUGGAAGUCUGGAUCAGGGAGGGGAGUCGAAAGCAUGGAUGAAGCUCAUAGGAAUCCAUCGAGUUGGCGGAAGACUUCUCAAAACUCACUUAUUUUCUGCCUUUCUUCCUGUAGCUUGAAAAUAUUUUAAUCAAGGCUGCGUAUCCCUCCUUUAAUUCUUGCUUUGAUAACAGUAUCUUUGUUCUUCUUCAUUCUGAGUAGUUAAAAUAUUUCCAGUAUCAUUUCUUUGGCAUCCUGUGAAUUGUCUUUCUGAAUUUCUAAUUGCAUGGAUUUUUAACUUGUUUAUUUAUUUUUCUUAUUUUUUAUUGAAUAAAAGAUUCUUUAAAUUCUGUAGUGCUUUAUGACUUUCAAAACUAUCAUACACAUGAUUUCAUAUAAUCUCAUAAUAAAUCCUU